GAACAGUUUGCAGUAGCUCUAGACCUAAGACAGACACAUGUGCAGGACACAGCCACGGUAAAGGCUGCAGAGAGGCUGCCAUCAAGCCUGUACUUCCUGCUGAUAAGUUAAUCUACGCAGAAUACUCUCAUCUCAGCUUGCAGCACUGAGGAGAAGAGGAAAGGACCAGAGGAGGCAGCAAGCAGCCCUUUUUAGGGCAUGGCCUAGAAUGGACUCUUUCAACUUUGGCACUGAUGACACGUGUGCCAAGUAACUCUUUUGUAACUUGCCGGCCAAUGGGUAGAUGAGGCUGAACCAAUACAUUCUGGGUCUGCAUGUGGAAGAAUGAGGCUUGCAGCCAACGGCCGUCCACCUCUCUGAUGAGGAUCAGGUUGAAGAUUCCACAAGAGAUAGAGAGUUACCAAGGCUGCUGAAACAGCUGGGCUUAAGGAGAGCCUGGGAGAGCCCCAGGAAGGAGCAUCCAGGCCAGGUCUCAUGUCCUCAGAGGUUUGAGAGUAAGAAGAGCUUGUGUUUGUCUUCCUAUCUGCAUGCCUGUUUUAGCAAGUUCUGUCACCCAGAACUGGAGAACAUUCCUGCAUUUCAGACUCUAUUUCCUUUCUUCCAUCAUACCCUGAUUCUGAGGGUCCCUGGCCCAGCUCUGUGGUUUGUGUCUCACAGAGCCUGGAGAUACUUGCCAGAGCACAUGGAAAUUGAAGCCAUGUGGGACUUAACAAGAGAUCAAAUGGUAUCUUAAACAUCCCAGGGCAGCUGCCCUGUCCCCAGAGCCUGGGGCGGCCUCUGUGAAGGGGCCCCUCUUUCCUGGUGUUCUGGGUCCCUCUCCUCCCAGCUCCACUGCAGGUCAGUCUUUUUUUCAUUACAAAUUGCUCGUAAG
Molecule: long non-coding RNA, 871 nt
Filed under: Mus spicilegus (steppe mouse)
Lineage: Eukaryota; Metazoa; Chordata; Mammalia; Rodentia; Muridae
Description: lncRNA (ENSMSIG00000010841.1)
Source: RNAcentral